Molecule: long non-coding RNA, 440 nt
Organism: Peromyscus leucopus (white-footed mouse)
Lineage: Eukaryota; Metazoa; Chordata; Mammalia; Rodentia; Cricetidae
Exons: 4
Source: RefSeq, a predicted model, not a curated record
CUCCCAUCAUGAUGAUAAUGGACUGAACCUCUAAAACUAUGGAAGAUCUAGUUCUUACUUUGAAAACUGCCUGUGGGAGCCAUGAUCAGUGCUGACCAAAGCAACAGACACAAAAGAAACUUUAAUGAAGACCCAUUUCAUCCAUUUUUGUCCUACAAAUGUCACACGUUUUCCAGACGAGCAGUCCAUCUUCCCUGGAAAACCUGCAGCCCCGGGGUAAUCAAGACAGACGACCAUCCUGAACGCACAUUGAAGUGUUUAAUGAGGCCAAACUCAGCCACUCUGGGGCUCCUGCUGACUUUUCCCCUUCUUGUGGUUUGUUCUUCUUGCCAGCAGAUUUCCCUGGCUUUAUUCAAAUCCUAGUCAUAAUUCAAGAGCUACGUUCAGAAUGCUCUCCCUAUCUCCAAGGCUUGGUGGCAAUAUUAGCUGUAUUAAUACCA